AGGAUCUCAUCGAGAAAGGUGAAGAGCAACCCAAUCUCACGGUUGGCAUUCUUGUGGCCAUUUUGGUUGUCUUCGUGUCAAUUUUCUUCAGAAUCAUAUUUGGUGGGAAGAAGCAGCCCACGAAGGUGGAGAAGACAAAUGUAGACUCCUCUGCCACGAACCAAAGUGGUGAUAACGGCGAGAACGAGGAAAACAAAGAGAAGGAAGAAUCAUCUUCUGCCCCUCCACGUCGGAGGUCGACAAGGAGAGAGAACUAAAAUAUGAUUGAAUAGUUUGUCACAUGGUUACUGUUGGAGAUCUAGUAGUUUUAUUUGAAGUUAAUUGGAGAGAUGUACAAUUAUGAUUAUUUUAUUUUUCUUUAUAUUUUUA
This is a long non-coding RNA of Vigna radiata var. radiata (mung bean), 369 nucleotides long. RefSeq lists it as uncharacterized. Lineage: Eukaryota; Viridiplantae; Streptophyta; Magnoliopsida; Fabales; Fabaceae. The record is from RefSeq and is a predicted model, not a curated record. The transcript is spliced from 2 exons.